Lepisosteus oculatus (spotted gar) is the source of this 701-nucleotide long non-coding RNA. RefSeq lists it as uncharacterized. The record is from RefSeq and is a predicted model, not a curated record. Lineage: Eukaryota; Metazoa; Chordata; Actinopteri; Semionotiformes; Lepisosteidae.
AUUAAUUUAUAUAACCGCUGGGAUCUUUUGAUUAGGUAAUUUAUAUGGAGGACAGGUUUAUAACGGCUAACUUACCGUCAUGUCCCGCAACAAUUAUUUCAAAAAUCCAGCUAUAAAAGCAGACAGUAAAUUUUAGAUUUUUCUAUUGCUGUCAUUGCAGCUCAUAACCUCGUAUCUGAUUUUCAAUAAAUCCUUUUUUAUGAAAUGGAGAGCAAUUACAUCAUCGCGAUCUUGAUGAUGCUAGGCAAGUUCCGAGGCAGAUGGUUUUGCAUAUACAGUACGUAUGGAUUUGACAGACACACUGUAUCACCGUGGCAACUGGGGAUAUACUGAACACACCUAUGCACUCAACGUUCUGUGACGUCGAUGUACUGUACAGUGGGUUCGGACGAAAUCUACAGUACGUGUCCAGUCAGAUUCCAACAGUCUUGACAAACGUGUAAUUGUCUCUGGGAGGUUUUAACGCCAAACAGUGUAAACUACCGAAUGGAAUGCUACAAAAGCCUAAAACCCAAUUUGUCAGAAGAGAAAAACAACCAAAAUCGGGAGGAGUAAUGCAAGAUCGAUAGACACUCCAGUUUUGAAACAAACCACCAAACAGGCUAGAUGAGACCAAUGGCCUCGUCUUGUUUGUAGCUUUUCUUAUGUCCUUAUGAAUUCAUCUCAAUCAAAAGACAUUACAGGGCUCCACAAACUGUGAA